This is a long non-coding RNA of Patella vulgata (common limpet), 7566 nucleotides long. RefSeq lists it as uncharacterized. The record is from RefSeq and is a predicted model, not a curated record. Lineage: Eukaryota; Metazoa; Mollusca; Gastropoda; Patellidae. The transcript is spliced from 3 exons.
CUGCCCCCUAUUAACUUCCUUGAACUUAAAAACACAAACAAAUUUGUGGCAUGCAGUCAAUAUUGCUACGCAAUAAUAUAUUAUAGGGUAAAUAAUUGUUUGUUGAAAAACUGCCAUUUGUUUAUUUAGUCUACGUAACCAGUUAAUAUGCACCGAGCUUUGCUUUACCGUGUUCUGUUACGUCGAUAUAAACGUGGAGCAUCUGUGACAUGCAGACCCUUAUUCUAAACUUCUUGUUAUGAUAUCAUAUCAAUAAGAAAUGGCUGAUUUCAAACCCAAAUGUAAAAUCUGUGAAAAGGAAUUUCCCUACUUCAGUCAGCUUGAGAUUCACCUGAAAAUGCAUAGUGGGGAGAAGCCGUAUGGAUGUCCAUAUUGUCCGAAAGCCUGUCUACGUCCAUCGGAUCUAACACGCCACAUCCGAACGCAUACCGGAGAGAAGCCAUAUUCCUGCGAUGCGUGUGGGAAGAAGUUUGCCCAACAAUCAGCUUUAAACCAACAUCUAUUGGUCCAUACUGGUGUUAAAGUCUUUCAUUGUGAUAAAUGUGACAAAAGUUUUAAAACCAAAUCGCAGCUUCAAGUCCAUCAAGUACACGUCCAUUCAGACGAGAAACUUUAUUCCUGUGAAAUCUGCGGAAAAGGAUUUAAAUCAAACAGCCAUCUUAAGUCUCAUCUCCGAAUUCACGAGACGGAAGUUGAUGUGAAACCUUUUGAAUGUGAUAUCUGCAAAAAGACCUUCAAAUUUAACACUAGUUUUAAACGGCACCAAAAACUACACACAGAUGUCAUGCCUUAUGAAUGCCAAGUCUGCGGAAAACGGUUUCGGGAGAAACACAAUUUUUUACGACACAAGAACAGGUCGUAUGGCGAAAUUGCGCUAAAUCACCAUUGCAAUUUUUGUGAUAAAGUAUUUUCUCAAAAGUGUCACCUCGACGACCAUAUUCGGACUCAUACAGACGAACGUCCUUUCGUGUGUGAGCAGUGUAAUAAAGGCUUCAAACAACGUAUCGCUCUUAAGAAACAUCUUGAAUUUCAUGUCAAAUCAGAAGCUAUUGUCAAGUCAGAAGCUAUUGUCAAGUCAGAAGCUGUGGACGUUGAAGCCAAGAUGUAAAUUGUGAUAUGAAUAUCUGAGCUUUAUACUGUUUAAACCACAUUAAAUUUGAGUAAUUGAAUGCCUUAAAAUAAACGCAAGAGUUCUGUGGAAAACAAUGGCUGUAUUUUUAGUGCAUAGUAUCUAUUUCUUUCUUUCUGACUCGGGAGCCACGGUGGCUAAUUGGGUAAAAUGCCGGUACGCUAACCAGAAGGUUGCGUGUUCGAUCCCUGCAUUGGCUAAGAAUGUUCAUUGGGAUUUUCCGGGGUGGUUUCCCUUGUCAGUGAUGUAGGACGAAGAGUCUGACAAAGACAGCUGUCUAGUCGUACGGAUGGGACAAGAAACAGAGGACCCAUGUAUACAUUGGCGUGCACACAAAAGAUCCCUUGGCAGUUGGAAUUUGAUAUAUAAGAGUCGGACAUAGUGCCACUGCCCGAGCAAAUUUUACAUUAAAGUACACUGUGUGACGUAUGCCCAUCUUUAUUAUCCAAGUAAGAGCAGAACACUAGGAUAAUAAAACCCAUUUCAUUUCAUUACUUUCUUUCUGACUUGGGGGAGGGGGGGGGGUGGAUGGCCGAAUAGUGCUGCAUAAUAAGGUCUGUCAGUUGUACUUGACAAGGAGUAGGGUCGACUGUCCAACCUCGUAGGUUUUCUCGGGGUCCUCCGGUUUCCUCCCACUGCUAAAGACUUCUACGCGCAAGCGAAUUAUUGAAAUAAAAUUGAACCAUAUGUUAGUCCCGAAAUGACCUUGUUUGUGUCGAGUGGACAUUAAACACAAUUUAUCGCUCUCUCUUUUAUAUCAGUAUUGUGCUUGAAAAACGACAAGAGAAUCAUGGUAGCUCGGAUUAAAGAUAAAGUAAUUGUUUUCCAUAGAACUAUUUUGUUUGAUUUGUUGUUCAUUCGUUCCUGGAGUUUUACAUCCACUUUCACAAAGGGUGAUAUCGGAAACGAGUUUAUAACCCGGGAUGAUUUGAUACGAUUUCUCUUGGGUUAAAAACAUAUAGGUCUGAAUCAUUAUCAACUCUGUGUAAUGCCUUAUGGAAAAAUUCUUGAGCAACAUAAAUUGUGAUAUGCUUUGUAACCAUGAAUGCUUUAACAAGAUUUCUCUCCGAUCAUAAACGGAAGAAAGAUUCUUAGAGCAGGAUUUUGUAUGUGUUUCACGUAGGGUUGGGUGAUAAUGAAAAAAAAAAGAUUGUGAUAAUAAUUUAUCAAGUAUCAGGAUAAAUGAAAUUAACGUGAUAAUUUAUACGUGUGUCUUAAGAAGGCAAAUUUGGAAUAGGUGGGCCGAAAAUCGCCAGCUUGAUGUCAAAUUAUUGUUGCUAAUGUCAGUAGUUGCCAUGAUGGAUAUUUACCCUAGACCAGCUGGUACUUCAUAAUGUUAUUUUUACUGAUGAAUUUAAUUCUAUCAAUUGAAUGUCAUAGGUGAUGAUAUAGAAUAUGUAUUAUCAUCAAUAUUGGGACACAAUAAUUUUGUUUAUCACAAUAUACCAGUUUUUCAAUAUUUUUAAAUAAGUCUGAUACAAAAAGCGCUCAACCUUAGCUCCACGACAGUAAAAUAAGGUUGUCUUCUUAAUGUACAUAAAAAAUGGUUUUAUUUAUAUAGUCAUAAAGUAAUGGUAAUAUGGUAAUUAAUUACUAUCAAUGAAAUGGAUAAUAGUAAUUAAUUACUAUCAAUGAAAUGGAUAAUGGUAAUUAAUUACUAUCAAUGGAAUGGAUAAUGGUAAUUAAUUACUAUCAAUGAAAUGGAUAAUGGUAAUUAAUUACUCUCAAUGAAAUGGAUAAUGGUAAUUAAUUACUAUCAAUGAAAUGGAUAAUGGUAAUUAAUUAUGGUACAUGUACUUUCAGUGUAAUAGGUAAUGGUAAUGAAUUACAUUGCUAAAAAUGAGAAAGUAACUGUAAUGAUUACAUUUAAAAAGUAAUGUUAAUGUAAUUAAUUAUAUUGGCCAUAUAAUGGCCCCAGCCCUGAUGCUUUAUGGGAAAAAAUACAAAUCCGAAUGGUCCGUGAAUGCAUAUGAAUGAGAUGGAGAUUUUUUAAUGAAGUAUUCCCAUUGGCUAACUUCCUAUCACUACCAAAGACCCCUAUGCAUAAGCGAAUUAUUGAAUUAAAAUUAAACUAUAUAUUGGUCCCAAUAUGACAUGGUUUGUGUCGAGUGGAUGUUAAACCCCAUUUUUCUCUCUCUCUAUCUGAAUUUCGAGGCCUUAUAAUGUUAACGAGAAGUAAAUAAAACUUGAGUGAAUGUUAAAAGGAGUAAACCAGAUAGAAAGGAUUCUGUGGUUGGUCCAUUGUAUGUUUUUUUUUCAAAAAGUUUAAUAUUUUGUUGUAUUAUUUUCAAGUUAUAGAAUUAUAUGUUUGUUGUUUUUUGUUGUUUGUAUUGUUAUCAAAGUUUAUUUUCAAAAUAUUUUUCGCAAAAUUCAUGCCUAUUAUAUUAUAUAAGCUUACUUAAUUUGCGUUCAUUCAAUUAUGAAACUUAGGUUUUAUUGUGGUUGUAUAUUGUCAUCACCCCUUUCUUUCAAUUUUCACCAUCGGUCUAUCGUUCGAAUCAUAUUUCUUGUAAACGUCCACGAACUAGAUAAUUUCGGGACUAAUUUUUAUUUCGAGUAGGGGGGGGGUCUUUUAGCAUCUAUUCUUUCUGUUAGAAUAAGAUUAAGAAACAACUUUAAGACAACUAUGUAAGUACACACAAAAUGUAAAAAAAAAAUAAUAAAUUAAGGGAAUGAAAUUUUCUAUGUAUUCAUUUUACAUUAUCUAUUUUUGAACUAUUAUAGCUCGAACGACCAGCUCUUAAUCUAAAUCAUACAUAAUAUAUGUUUAAAGAGAAGAUGUAAAUAUUAAAUAGAAGGAAUUAUUAAUUGUUGACAAUUAAACUAAAAUUUAAGAAAUUAUCAAUUUGAUUUAUUUGCAAUAGAAUGUAUUUUCUUUGUUAUUAAUAAUUUUUUUUUUUUUUUUUUGACAGUUUUUGUGGACUGUUUUUCUGUUAAAAUAAGAAACUGUCAUGAAACUGUCACAUGCGAUGUGAUAAAUACUUAAACCACAAUAUAGGCUAAUGUGUUUUCUUUUUGACAGUUUUGGUUUUAUUAUUAUUGUAUAUUUUGUACUAAUGUAUAUAUUUUUGUAGUGCAUAAAGUAACAAAAUUAAUUGAAAACAAGAUCAAAUUGAUGUUGUUAUUAAGAGAAAAACUGUUUAUUCAAAAAUGUGUUUUGAAAAAGAUUGAAAGGGACACAAAUUGUGUUUUUGAUUUAAAAUGAAAUUGGUGUUAUUAUGGUAAGAGUGGUUAAAGUUGUGGCGCUGGCUCACUAGCCUGGAGGUCACAUGUUCGAUCCCUGCAUUGGCCGAGAAAGUUCAUCCAGAUUUUCUGGCGUGGUUUCCUCUUGUCAGUGGUGCAAGACUGAGGGCCUGACAAGGACAGCUGUCUAGUCGUUCGGAUGGUAUGAAAAACUGAGGUCCUGUGUACACAUUGGCGUGCACGUAAAAGAUCCCUUGGCAGUUGGAAUUCGAUAUAAGAGUAGGCCAUAGUGUCGCUGUUUGGGCAAAAUUUCCCUAAUAGCACACUGUAUGGCGUAUGUCCGUCUUCAUUAGCCCAGUUUGGAGCAGAACAGUAGGACGUUAAACCCCAUUUCAUUUUUAGUUAAAAGUUAUGGAUUUAGCUUUAUGUGUCUUAAUAAUAAGAUUAUAAAAAUAAUUGUUUUAUUUAAAAAUGUGUUUUGAAAACAUGUAACUUUGAAAGGGAAAGGGAAACAAAAUGUGUUUUUUAUGUGUUGAAAUGGAUUUGGUGUAUCUUUGUAGAUGUAAUCCUUAUAAGAUUUCACUAAAAUUAACACACUAAUAUGGAUAUACUACUUUUGAAUUUUAUUAACAUGCCAUAUUUCAAUACACAUACAGUGGACUCUGUCACAUCCGAUAUCUGAUCACUCCGGAUUGCUGUGACAUCCGACAUUAUUUUCAUGUCCCGAUUUAAUUCCUUAUUACUUCAGCCAAAAAAUCGCUGGUAAAUUAGGAUUCUGUAUGUUCCGGAUUCCGACAUCAAUCAGCCGUCCCGUCACAUAAUUUCCAUUGAAUCGACACCAUAUAAUCCGUACUUCAAACAGUGGGUGUGAAGCAUCCAAUUAUCGGUGAGAAUAAAACUCAAUGGGUGUGAAGCCAGAAAAGAUUAACAAGCAAUCACCAAUCAAUUAUCGAUUAGAUUAAAACUCGCAAGCGCCGAUCUGUGUUGAUUACUUUGAUAAUGUUAUAAAUUCUUUGUUGAUUAUUUUACAAUUUAUAAUCUCUUGUAAGAGUGCGCUUGGUAUUUGAUUUUAGCUACUCAUGUCAAAUACCGCGACAUUAUAUAAAAAUUGCCGCGAUUGCCUGAACAGAUUUGACAUUAGAUGUAAAGUGGCAACUUAUAACAGAUUUCGAGAAAGUUCCACGACCUGCGCAGAAGGAAUUAGCCGUUAAGUAUUCAAUUGGCCGAGCUACAGUGUCAGACAUAUUAAAGCGUAAAGAUGAAUUUAAACAGAAGUUUGCCGAUAAUUUAAACUGCAGUAAGAAACGAUUUUACACCAACUCAAAAUUGCAUUGUUAUUGUUAAUUAUUUAAUGUUAUAAAAUUUUGAAAGUAGAGAAAGGUUUAUCAUUUUUAAAGGGAAUAGCAUUCUGGUGAUUCGAAGCUACAAUAUAAAAAUACUUCCGGUUUUCGAAGUUACAGUAUUUCCGGUUUUGGAGAAAGCUUGGUAUUCCGACACGCUGUGUGAUCCGAAAUAUUGUAACGAUCCCGUACGAUGUCGGAUGUGACAGAGUCCACUGUACAGAUAUCGUUAUCAAGCAAAUGAUGAUAUAUAACAAAAAUGUUUAAUAAAAUUCAGAAAUAGUAUAUCCAUAUAUAAGUGUGUUAAUUUUGUAGAUGUGGCUACAACUACGAAUUGUUUUGUCUGUUGGUUUUCAUAAUAAGGCCAAACUCUACUUUCCGUGUAUAUGUCACAUACCAUCAUGAAUACAUCUAGACAGUUUUUAUUAAUUGAUUCUAGUAGAUGUUAUCAUUGUUAAAAUGAACCAAUAGGUGGACCCUGUCCUUUGAUUACUUAUUAAAAUGUAGCAAUGGGUGGACUAUCCCCUUUAAUUUCUUGUUUUACAAUAUGUAGUGUGGUUUUUAUUAGUUAGUUUUUAUUAGUGAAGGUGUAUGGUAAUUUUUCAUGUUUACUAAUGGUUUAACCAUAUUUAUUUGCAAUGUUUACAAUUUUAUAACAAGGAUACGAAAACAAGCAUAAAUAUGCUUAUAAAUAUCGCCUCGAUAAAAAUAUCAUUUUGAUUAAAAAAAUAUCGGUUUAAUAAAAAUAUCACUUUGAUAAAAAUAUCGCUUCUAUAAAAAUAUUGCUUUAAUAAAAUUAUCGCUACAAUGAAUAUCGCUUUACUUGUAAAAUUCCAUGCUUUUAAAUCCAUUCUUCUUUAAAAGCUUUAAUCAUUUUUUCUCCCAGAUUCUAUAUUUAAUCUGUUUGUCUGCAUUCCUGAACUGUUUAUUCUUUCUGUGUUCCUUAGGACAGUUUUCCUGCAGUACCUGUUUAAAUAUUUCAAUCUAAACGUUUCAUAGAAAAUUUUUGUGAAAUUAACAUGGUUCACAUUUCGCAAUGUGUUGAACCAUUAAAGAUGCAUUAUGUAAGGGCGAAAUCUGCCUAUAGCAGAUCUUUCAUUUGGCCUCAAAUGUUAUAUAAAUUAUUAAUUAGACAUUUAUUUACAUGCCAGACCCAUAAUCAACUCUCUAGUACUUUGGAUGGUUUUGAUUUUCAACAGAUUUAAAUACGAUUGGCAGUUAAUGAUUUAAUUCAAAAAUAGAUAAUUGAGACUUUGUUAUCGUAACAAAUGUAGCAAUGACAAACAAGAUUACACUGUUAACUCAACUCAGAAUGAAGUAAUUUGACUGAAAUUUUCAAUAUAUUUCCUUUUCAUUAUAAUUUUUUUUAAACUAUUUUAGUGAAAACUGUAAGUUCUUUCUAUCAAAAUCUUACAUAAUGCAUCUCUUAGUAAUUAGACAGUGGAACCAGUCCGAUAUUAUACUCAUGAAUUUGGAUAUUAUAGCAAAUAGGUCUUUCUAGUUCUGUUCUUAAAUAUAGAUUAUGCAAGAGCUAAAUUACGGUAUGAACAAAAAUAUUAAAAUAGGCUAAGUAUAUAUUUAUAAGGAUAAUGAAAUGGGGUUUAACGUCCUAAUGUUCUGCUCCGAACUGGGCUCGUCUUCAUAGCCCAGUCAGAGCAGAACAGUAGGGUGUUAAACUCCAUUUCAUUUCAUGCAAUUUCCGACAUAAUUUUCUGUCAGAGGUUACAUGAUACAUGUAUAUUUAAUUGCAAUUUGUGUAUAUAUAUUUUAUCCACCACCACAUGUCCACGAAUAAAAACAAUUGGAAUAUUUUACCAAGUAUAAAAUUAUUGUAUUAAUUUAUAAAAAAAAAAGUAAUUAUGUUUGUUUUUUCUUGAUUAUUAUUUGUUAUGAAAUAAAAAUUAUUUCAUUGAA